This 253-nucleotide unclassified non-coding RNA is filed under the name uncultured Cytophagales bacterium. Its description in RNAcentral is "contains 16S-23S intergenic spacer region". It matches the Rfam family "Bacterial small subunit ribosomal RNA", at positions 524 to 776 of the family's 1533-position model. The record is from RNAcentral. Lineage: Bacteria; Pseudomonadati; Bacteroidota; Sphingobacteriia; Sphingobacteriales.
UACGGAGGGUGCAAGCGUUGUCCGGAUUUAUUGGGUUUAAAGGGUCCGCAGGCGGGCUAUUAAGUCAGUGGUGAAAGCCUACAGCUUAACUGUAGAAUUGCCAUUGAUACUGAUAGUCUUGAGUACAGACGAGGUAGGCGGAAUUUAUGAUGUAGCGGUGAAAUGCAUAGAUAUCAUAAAGAACACCAAUUGCGAAGGCAGCUUACUAGACUGUAACUGACGCUCAUGGACGAAAGCGUGGGGAGCGAACAGG